This 336-nucleotide ribosomal RNA is filed under the name uncultured bacterium. RNAcentral describes it as "bacterial SSU rRNA". It matches the Rfam family "Bacterial small subunit ribosomal RNA", at positions 20 to 353 of the family's 1533-position model. The record is from RNAcentral.
UGGCUCAGAACGAACGCUGGCGGCGCGCUUAACACAUGCAAGUCGAACGUGAAGCCCGGGCUUGCCCGGGUGGAAAGUGGCGAACGGGUGCGUAACACGUGAGCAACCUGCCCCGAAGACCGGGAUAACACCGGGAAACCGGUGCUAAUACCGGAUGCCCUCAUCAUGUCGCAUGGCGAGAUGAGGAAAUGGAUUCCGCUUCGGGAUGGGCUCGCGGCCUAUCAGCUUGUUGGUGGGGUAACGGCCUACCAAGGCGACGAGGGGAAGCUGGUCUGAGAGGACGAUCAGCCACACUGGGACUGAUAUUCUCGGCCCAGACGGAAACGGGAGGCAGCA